RNA transcript from Papaver somniferum (opium poppy), 2237 nucleotides. It is a transcript of the gene named pentatricopeptide repeat-containing protein At2g36980, mitochondrial-like, with no coding region annotated. NCBI's taxonomy places the organism in Eukaryota, Viridiplantae, Streptophyta, Magnoliopsida, Ranunculales, Papaveraceae. The transcript has 3 exons. The record is from RefSeq and is a predicted model, not a curated record.
UUGAAGAAGAAAAAGUGCGUCGGGACAAACUGAAGAAGUUUUUCUUCAUAGUCUUCUCCAAAAGAAAAAAUGUUUUAUAUGUUUAUUACUUAAAAAUGUGAAAGCUAGCGUUCUACAGUCUUUCUCAGGAACAUACGAAAUACAUUCAAUGUUUCAAGUUACAUCAAAGAUUGUUGCCUUAGCAAAAUCAGGUAAAAUCACUUUGGCACGAAAGCUGUUCGAUGAAAUGCAGCACAGAGACACAAUAGCUUGGAAUGCAAUGCUAACUAGUUAUUCUAAAUCGGGUCUUUAUCAAGAUGCUUUAAGUUUAUUUUCCGAAAUGAGAUUUUCUGACACUCCACUGGACGAUUUCACUAUUACGUCUGCUUUGAGUGCAUGUGCUGAUUUGGGGGAUUUCUAUCAUGGAAGCAAAAUUCAUGGGCUUGUUGUUAGGUCUGGAUUCCAAUCUUCAUUACCUGUGGGUAAUUGUCUCAUUGAUAUGUACGGGAAAUGUUUGGUUCCUUUGAAUGCGUGUAGAAUGUUUGAAGAAAUCGCUUGUCAAAAUGACGUUUCUUGGUGUUCUCUUUUGUUUGCUUCUAUGAAAAGUGGGCAAUUAGAUAGAGGGCAGUGGGUUUUCGAUAAUAUGCCAAAUCAUGUAGAAUUUGCAUGGAACAUACUUAUUGCUGGUUAUUCUCGAACUGGGAAGUUUGAGUUGUGUCUGCAGCUGUUUAGAAAUAUGAGAAAAACGGCAUCCAAGCCUGAUCUUUGGACGUUUACUGCACUUAUGAACGCUUGUGCUGAAUUACCCAAUUCAUACUAUGGUCGAAUGAUCCAUGGGUGCAUUGCGAAGACCAGAUGGAUAUCUGAAGUUGAAGUUAGCAAUUCCAUAUUAAGUUUUUAUGCUAAACUAGGCUGCUGUGAAGAUGCAGUUAAGAUUUUUGAGUCAAUAGAAUCCCAUACCCAGGUUUCUUGGAACGCAAUGAUUGAUGCUCAUAUAAAAGUUGGAGAUGUUCAUGAAGCUCUUGCGGUGUUUCAUCAAGCACCAGAGAAAAAUCUUGUUUCGUGGACUACUAUGAUUACUGGGUAUGCAAAAAGUGGCUAUGUGGAGAAGGCUCUUAGUUUCUUAGUUGACAUGACAAGAAAUCUUCUUCGGCCUGAUGAAUUUACUUUUGGAGCUGUUCUUCAUGGAUGUUCUAACUUGGCCUUUGAAGGACCUGGUAAGGUUAUUCAUGGUUGUAUAAUUCAAUAUGGUUUUUGUUCGCAUGCUUAUAUUGGAAAUAGCUUAGUUAACAUGUAUGCAAAGUGCGGAGACAUAGACGGAUCAACUCGUGCAUUCAGGGAUAUUAUCAAUAAGGAUUUAGUUACAUGGAAUACAAUGUUGCUCGGAUUAGGGCUACACGGACGAGUUAUUGAAGCUUUGAGAUUUUACGAGGAGAUGUUAGAAUCGAGAAUGAUGCCUGAUAAAGUAACAUUCAUUGGAAUGUUGAUGACUUGUAGUCAUUCAGGUUUUAUAGAAAAAGGCAAAGCGAUUUUUGAAUCCAUGGAGUCAAUUUAUGGAGUUGCUCAUGAAGCUGAUCACGUAGCUUGCAUGGUCGACUUGCUCGGAAGAGGUGGUUACUUACAACAAGCCAAAGAAUUGGUUGAAGAGCACUCUCACAAACUUAAGACCAGUUCAAACGAGACUCUACUUGGUGCUUGUGCCACACAUGGUCAAAUGGGACUUGGAGUAUCACUUGGGGAAGAUUUGAGGAGUUUGAAACCCGAAGGAGAAAUUGGGUAUGUGUUGUUGUCAAAUUUGUAUUGUGCAAAUGGUCUAUGGAAAGAAGCAGAGAAGAUAAGAAAAAUAAUGUUAGAGCGAGGAGUGAAAAAAUCUCCUGGUUGUAGUUGGAUUGAAAUGAAAAACAGAGUUAUGGUGUUUGUUGCAGGGAAUGAAUCUAAAAACCCCGAAAUGAAUGAAAUGUAUCAGAUGUUAAGAGUUCUAGAGUCUGAUAUGCGAAAUCCUAGUUAUUUUUGUAUUUGAGAAUUAUAACACUUCUUAUCGUUGUUGAAAUCCACAACCGAAACUAUGGAGUGGGAAGACGAUGACAAUAUCCAACAGGUUUCAUGAUAAAGUUACAACAGAGUUGGAAUGGAUGAGAAAUCAGGAAUUAUCUCACGAUCUUGUAGCUGAGGUUGCUGCAGAGUUGAAAGAUUUUGAUUGCAUUGUUGCUGGUCCAGAUCUGGGAAGGGAUCCACAUUCUUCUGGGUAUUUCUUGGCU